UUUUUUUCUUUUCGCUGUUGGUAAAGUGGGAUUAUCUAUUGCCUGUAUGUUUCUGGUUGUAAUUAACAUCCUUGGGUUGCAGUUUUCCUUCCAGAAUUUUCUGUAGGGCUGGAUUAGUGGGUAUAUGCAUUUUUUAAAUCUGAUUUUGUCAUGGAAUAUCUUGUUUUCUCCAUCUAUAUUGAUUGAAAGCUUUGCUGGGUAUAGUAGUCUGGGCUGGCAUCCGUGGUCUCUUAGUGUAGAUAGAAUAUCUAUCCAGGUCCUUCUAGCUUUCAGAGUUUCCAUGGAGAAGUGUGGUGUAAUUCUGAUAGAUUUGCCUUUAUAUGUUACUUGGCCAUUUUCCUUUGCUGCUCUUAAUAUUUUCUCUUUAUUCUGUAUGUUUGGGGUUUUGAUUAUUAUGUGGUGAUGACACCUUUUGUUUUGGUUGAGUCUAUUUGGUGCUCUGGAGGCUUCUUGUACUUUCAUUGGCAUGUCUUUCUUUAGGGUGGGAAAGUUUUCUUCUAUGAUUUUGUUGAAUAUGUUUUUUGUGCCUUUGAGUUGGAUUUCUUCACCUUCUUCUAAACCUAUUAUUUUCAGGUUUGGUCUUCUCAUGGUGUCUCAUAUUUCCUGGAUAUUUUGUGUUAGGGAUUUGUUGGAGUUAAGAUUUUCUUUGGUUGAUGAGUCUAUUUCUCCUAGUGUAUCUCCAACUCCUGAGAUCCUCUCUUCCAUCUCUUGUAUUCUGUUUGUUAUGCUUGCAUCUUUUGUUCCUGAUAGCUUACCCAGCAUUUCUAUUUCCAGCAUUCCCUCAGAUUGUGCUUUCUUUAUUGUCUCUAUUUCAGUUUUUGGGUCUUGGACUGUUUCCUUGAAUGAUUUGUUGAUAUCUUGUAUUCUUUGGUUUGUUUUUUCUUCCACUUCCUUAAGGGAUUUUCUCAUGUCCUCUUUGAGGUCCUCUAUCAUUUUCAUGAAGAUGUUUUUAAGGUCAUUCUCUUCUGCUUCAUGUGCAUUGUGAUGUUCAAGUCUUGCUGGUGCAUGGUCCCUUGUCUCCAGUGGUAUCAUACUGGUUUUUCUGUUGUUGAAUGUGCUUUGAUAUUGUCUUCUUCCCAUCCUUUUUUCUGGUAGGUGUAGCAAGAGUCUCUUCCUCUCCUGGUGUGUGUGGGACCAAGUUUCCCUCCUGGUAGAUGCAAACAGUUCCAAUACUCUGAUGUCUGUCCUCUUCUCCUGGAUGAAGAUUUAUCUCAAGUGCUUCUCAUGGCAUUGAACAGUGUGACUAAGAUAUUUUCCUACCUA
This 1263-nucleotide long non-coding RNA is filed under the name Cricetulus griseus (Chinese hamster). Its description in RNAcentral is "lncRNA (ENSCGRG00015031564.1)". Lineage: Eukaryota; Metazoa; Chordata; Mammalia; Rodentia; Cricetidae. The record is from RNAcentral.